RNAcentral lists this ribosomal RNA (1096 nucleotides) under Triticum aestivum (bread wheat). RNAcentral's name for it is "partial small subunit ribosomal RNA". Lineage: Eukaryota; Viridiplantae; Streptophyta; Magnoliopsida; Poales; Poaceae. The record is from RNAcentral.
CUCUAGCGCACCUCUUGUCCACUCCUUUUCUGCGACAGCACCAGCGCAUGCGCCGCCGUCACUUGCUGCUCAUAGUGGCUGCGCGGUGUACCGCCGCCAACAAUACCUUAAGCGGAGGGAGGAUGUACGCUGCAGCAUCAGUCCUGACCUCUUUUGCCGAAUGGAUUUGGGGUAGCUUGCACAGGCACUUUUUCAUGGAGCUGAUAUUAUAGAUAUUGGGAUAUGGGGACUAUUCAUUAGAUUGAUUUGAGCUGGAGAUCGACAUCUUCUGGAAGUAUGUGGUAUGAGAGAGAUGAGGAUAGAUUAAAUAGAGUUGAUAUCCAUUGCUAGAGGAAAAAGCACGAAUGGUCAUUUUGCGUUGCUGGGUAACAUGAUGAUUUGAGGAGCAUGAUUGGCAAACCCACCUUCAGUUUUAACUUAUGGUCAGGGAUUCCUAGGGAUGUCAAGGUGUUGAGGAACUCCGUAGGCUGCAUGUUGCCUUCCACACUGGGUCCAGGCUUAGGCCUUCGAUGUGUCUAGGCGUCUUGCCGCCCCCUUGGAUACGCGGGGUGUCAUGCCGAUCUUGUUGGUGCAAUCGAUCGUCCUUAGCAUGUGUUGAAGAACUUGAAGUGUUCUUACCCAAAGUUGAUGUUGUUUCUGUUGUUCCUUCCUCGGGCCUUCAAUGUGAUGGGUGUCCUACCAUCCCCUUUGAUAGGCGAGGCAGCAACCUUGCAGGUGCAGCUAAUCGUCCUCAGCAUCCACCUUGCCGUUGCAACUGAUCGACCUUAGCAUCGACCUUGCCGGUGCAACUGACCGUCCUUGGCAUGUGUGGAUGUGUUGUGUGGAUCUGCCUUCAAUAUGUCGUACAGUGUUGUGACGUGUGGCGACAUGUGUUGAUUCGCUAGGUGUGAUGUCUUGUAAUGUUUCUAUGUUGCAGAUGUGUCAACCUGAGCUUUAAGUCUUCUUGCGCAAAAUAGCAUAUGUCCGUGUACAGCGUGCAACUAAUUCAAGUCUGUACGUGAAACGGUAUAUGUAUGUCUCCUUGCACAUGUCCUUGGCUAAUAUGUAUGUCUCCUUGCCUAAUAUGCAUGUGCAAUAUUAAAUAAAGUGUCCUUGC